Molecule: long non-coding RNA, 322 nt
Organism: Peromyscus eremicus (cactus mouse)
Lineage: Eukaryota; Metazoa; Chordata; Mammalia; Rodentia; Cricetidae
Exons: 2
Source: RefSeq, a predicted model, not a curated record
AUUGCGCUAGAGAGGACAUGAAUGAGGAGCACACCUCAGCUAAUAAACAUGACAUCUUAUUAAUGCUUCUGUUUAUAGCUAAUGAAUGUGACCAAAACCAGCCACAGCUGAGAAGUAUUUAUCAAGUACCACAAACCUCCCAGAGUCCUUGACCCAGCCAUUGCAUAUAAAGAAGGAAUUCUAAGGAUCUCAUCACAGACACACACAAAGAAAUCGCAAAAACAUUCAUGACAAUGCUGCUCCCAAUAGAGGGAAGUUUGAAACAACCCAGAAGUUCAAUCGCACAAGACAUAAACUAAAUAAAGCCCAGUUGUAUGCAGAA